UGGGGAAUCUUGCACAAUGGGCGAAAGCCUGAUGCAGCAACGCCGCGUGAGUGAAGAAGGCCUUUGGGUCGUAAAGCUCUUUCGGCCGGGAAGAAGGGUACAUUGGCUAAUAUCCAAUGGAUUUGACGGUACCGGAAGAAGAAGCACCGGCUAACUUCGUGCCAGCAGCCGCGGUAAUACGAAGGGUGCAAGCGUUGUUCGGAAUUAUUGGGCGUAAAGCGCGCGUAGGCGGGCUUGUAAGUCGAUUGUGAAAUCCCCGGGCUCAACCUGGGAAUUGCAGUCGAAACUGCAAGUCUUGAAUGCUUGAGAGGAUGACGGAAUUCCUGGUGUAGUAGUGAAAUACGUAGAUAUCAGGAGGAACACCGGAGGCGAAGGCGGUUAUCUGGCAAUGCAUUGACGCUGAGGCGCGAAAGCGUGGGGAUCAAACAGG
This 430-nucleotide ribosomal RNA is filed under the name uncultured bacterium. RNAcentral's name for it is "bacterial SSU rRNA". It matches the Rfam family "Bacterial small subunit ribosomal RNA", at positions 355 to 776 of the family's 1533-position model. The record is from RNAcentral.